CAGUAGCCACGGUAAUACGGAGGGUGCAAGCGUUAAUCGGAAUUACUGGGCGUAAAGCGCACGCAGGCGGUCUGACAAGUCAGAUGUGAAAUCCCCGGGCUUAACCUGGGAACUGCAUUUGAAACUGUCAGGCUGGAGUCUUGUAGAGGGGGGUAGAAUUCCAGGUGUAGCGGUGAAAUGCGUAGAGAUCUGGAGGAAUACCGAUGGCGAAGGCAGCCAUCUGGCCUAAUACUGACGCUGAGGUACGAAAGCAUGGGGAGCAAACAGGAUUAGAUACCCCUGUAGUCCCUGUCUCUUAUAC
Molecule: ribosomal RNA, 301 nt
Filed under: uncultured bacterium
Lineage: Bacteria
Description: partial 16S ribosomal RNA
Rfam family: Bacterial small subunit ribosomal RNA
Source: RNAcentral